Molecule: ribosomal RNA, 827 nt
Filed under: bacterium
Lineage: Bacteria
Description: bacterial SSU rRNA
Rfam family: Bacterial small subunit ribosomal RNA
Source: RNAcentral
UCAGGACGAACGCUGGCGGCGUGCUUAACACAUGCAAGUCGAACGGAAAGGCCCUUCGGGGUGCUCGAGUGGCGAACGGGUGAGUAACACGUGGGUGAUCUGCCCUGCACUUUGGGAUAAGCCUGGGAAACUGGGUCUAAUACCGAAUAUGAUCGCUGGCUUCAUGGCUGGUGGUGGAAAGCUUUUGCGGUGUGGGAUGGGCCCGCGGCCUAUCAGCUUGUUGGUGGGGUAAUGGCCUACCAAGGCGACGACGGGUAGCCGGCCUGAGAGGGUGUCCGGCCACACUGGGACUGAGAUACGGCCCAGACUCCUACGGGAGGCAGCAGUGGGGAAUAUUGCACAAUGGGCGCAAGCCUGAUGCAGCGACGCCGCGUGAGGGAUGACGGCCUUCGGGUUGUAAACCUCUUUCGCCAGGGACGAAGCGCAAGUGACGGUACCUGGAGAAGAAGCACCGGCCAACUACGUGCCAGCAGCCGCGGUAAUACGUAGGGUGCGAGCGUUGUCCGGAAUUACUGGGCGUAAAGAGCUCGUAGGUGGUUUGUCGCGUUGUUCGUGAAAACUCACAGCUUAACUGUGGGCGUGCGGGCGAUACGGGCAGACUGGAGUACUGCAGGGGAGACUGGAAUUCCUGGUGUAGCGGUGGAAUGCGCAGAUAUCAGGAGGAACACCGGUGGCGAAGGCGGGUCUCUGGGCAGUAACUGACGCUGAGGAGCGAAAGCGUGGGGAGCGAACAGGAUUAGAUACCCUGGUAGUCCACGCCGUAAACGGUGGGUACUAGGUGUGGGUUUCCUUCCUUGGGAUCCGUGCCGUAGCUAACGCAUUAAGUA